GAUUAUUGAAUACAAUAAGGUCAUAAUAUGCUUCAUAAGAGUUAAAUCUGUCAUAUAUUUCAAAUCUGUAAAAAAAUGUCAUGUGUAGCAAAUUUCAGAAAAAUCUCUUUCGAAACAUUUUCAAAACUUUCGUUCACACAUCGCUGACGCAUUUGACCAAAAUGAGGUUAUCAUCAAGCAUCAGUUCAAAUGUUAAAGAAAAAAAUUGUCAUAGCAUUAACAAUGUUUCAAAAUCAAGCAUAAAAUUUUAACUAGUCUUAUUUGACUGCUUUUACACCUCGGUACUGAAAAAAAUGUAAAAAUGUAUGUACAAAAGUAGAAUGCGCCCACCGCUAUCAACGUGUGAAGGGAGCGUGUGUGAUGGAUCAUUAGUGUCGGUGCAACAACAACCACCCAGUGAAACAUAAGUAGGUCUACACUGACUAGCGACAAUGAAAUUAUCUUGAAAAUAUUUACUUUAUAUGUUUUAGAAGAAUAUUAUGAUUUUCAUACAUAAUUAUUUGUUAUAAUUCUUAAAUAUUUCAAAAAUGAUGGCAUAAUUGCAAAUAUUCGCAUAUGCAAGUAUUCUUUUGUCAAAGCCAAGAUAUUGUUUCUAGGCCUAGGUGUUAGAUUUCUUUACUUUACACUUAACAGUCGUAUCUCUUUAUUAACAAUUUCUGGCCAGAAAGCAAAUGAGGUUAUCUACACAUUCUUGCACUUCAAGUUACCUUAUGAAAGAAUAAAUUAUACACCAAAAGCGAGCAGAAGGAAUUUUAAGAAAAUAAUAUUUUAAAUCAGUUGAAAAACAAGUGUUCUAUACGUCUUGAUAGUUAAUACUUAUGAUAUUUCGAUUAAUAGCCAUCUUCUCCAUAUAAUCAAAAUCAGCAGCAUCUUUUAUUCCUCAAAGAACAGGUUAUCUUUGCAAAUAAAAACAUUAGUAACAGAUUACAUUUCAGAAGACUUAGAAUAUCUUUUAGGGAAAUAAAUCAUUUUGCAACAUACAGCCAGCUUAAACGCAGUCUAAAACUUCAAAGAAAACUGGUCGUAAUUCAUAUUCUAUCGUAUUCAUAUUCUAUCUUAUUCAUCAAAGAACAGGUAAUCUCUACAAAUAAAUUCAUUAGUAACAGAUUAGGUUACAUCUCAGAAGGCAUAGACUAUUUCUUUAAGCCUAUGAAACAUUUUGCAACAUACAGGCAGCUUAAACACAGCAUAAACUUCAACAUUCAAAGAAAACUGGUUGUAAUUCAUAUUCCUACUUUGAAAAUGUUGUCAUGACUGUUGAGCUUAUUAGGUCUACUGUCAUAAUGCUGCAGACGUACUAGUUAUGUUGACCAGUCCGAGGAGCAUGUAAGUGCGGUUUCAUUGAUGGCACCGCUAACCUUAUCACACCGCACUUUGAACUAAGCAACGUAAAAAAAAAUCAGUUCAAAUCACACAGAUUACGAAUCAUACAAAUGCAUAAAAGGGAUCAUAUUUAUAUAACCAUAAGGAAAAUAGGGCUAGCUGUGAAUUCGCAAACUUGUCGACAUGUAUGACAUUAGAAAAAAAAAAAGUUUAACACUACUUGGCAACGUCACGUUGAGUCUGAGAAUCUGGACGAUAUAAAAAGAAUCAUGUCGCAUGAGAUUUGAGCCCCACUGUACAUACACCUUCCACGCACACAAUGAAGACCUAUUGGAAAUUGUUGAGUGACAUAACACUUAUUUAUUAUAAAAAAAUUGAUAAAAAAUCUCUGUUGGUGCAUCACAUUAUAUCAUACCUCGAAAAACGUUUCCCUCAUGAAAUGGAUAUUAGUUGUAUUUUAUGUUUGAAAACAAAUUGAAUAAUAUAUUGGUGGCCCGAAGAAAUUGGUUUGACUGUGCACGCACAAUGAAGACGGUGCGUGAAUUUACAAAUUAAUGCUACCUUGAAGACAGUCAUUGAAAGAUACCCCUAGCGGGAAGAGUGCAAAUUAGCCAAGAUAGCUAUUUCCUAUUCCCUGCGUUCAAACGCCUUCAAACUCUAGACUCCAGAGUCGUUCCGGGUAAGCCGAGAGGCUAUUUUGCUGUCACUUUUAAUCUUGAAAUAUAUUUAACAUCCGGUAAUCUACCCAUGCCGUGAUAGUUGAAAUUAGUUGGGAGCUAACUGGAGAUUCGACGUGUUUUUUUUGUUUUUUUUGGUGAUUUGGCAGAAACUUCCUGACUGUCGUAAGUGACUUCUUAAAUGUGAAGUAUAAGUUGUUUUUGGUCCUCAAAGGCGAUUGCAUCCACUCACCCCCUUUAAGGCUUGAUUCACCUAAUUUGAAACGCUUAAAUAUUCCCAAUUCUGAUACCUACAGAGGUCUAAAAAGGGUGUCUGCUAACAUGCUUUUUGUUCCCGGGAGACAAAUUGUUUGCCAGCUGAAGUUUCCCCUAGGAGUCAGAAACUUGCUUUGCUACUGUCUGAAAAGACCGCUAACCUGCAGACUGGAAUAUGUGUGAAUGGCGUUAAAUGCUGUGACUAUGGACUGCAUUUUUACAAAACUAUUUUGUUAAUGCAAUGGAUAUGGAAACAGAUGCUCUAGAAGAGUCUGUUAUGUUGUUCCUGGCACUGAUGUGUUUAACUGUUUGCAACAGGUAAUUACCAAGAAUGAGUUUUUAUACUGACAUUUCUGUAAAACACUUUUACAAAAAUAAAGUGGAAACUGGUCA
Molecule: long non-coding RNA, 2648 nt
Organism: Macrobrachium nipponense
Lineage: Eukaryota; Metazoa; Arthropoda; Malacostraca; Decapoda; Palaemonidae
Exons: 3
Source: RefSeq, a predicted model, not a curated record